GAUGAACGCUGGCGGCGUGCCUAAUACAUGCAAGUCGAACGGAAAGGCGCUGCUCUUGCGGGUCGCACGUGUCGCGAGCGCGGGUGUAACACGCGAGUAUCCUGUCCCUGACUGACGGAUAACUCUAGGAAACUAGGGCGAUUAUCGGAUAGGAGAUCUUGAUGCACGGGGGGGGUUGGUAAGAUACGGCGGUUGGGGAUGGACUCGCAGCUUAUCAGCUUGUUUGUCGGGUAGUUGAGUCCGAAGGUUAUGACGGGUAGCCGGCCUGAGAGGGUGACCGGCCACAUUGGGACUACGAGACGGACCAGAAUCCUACGGGAGGCAGCAGUGGGGAAUAUUGCACAGUGGGCGGACGCCAGAUGCAGCAACGCCGCGUGCGGGAUGCCGGCCUUCGGGUGGUAAACCAAUUUCGCCUGUGACGAAGCGUGAGUGACGGUAAUGGGUAAAGAAGCACCGGCUAACUACGUG
This 468-nucleotide ribosomal RNA is filed under the name uncultured bacterium. RNAcentral's name for it is "partial 16S ribosomal RNA". It matches the Rfam family "Bacterial small subunit ribosomal RNA", at positions 28 to 507 of the family's 1533-position model. The record is from RNAcentral.